RNAcentral lists this ribosomal RNA (373 nucleotides) under uncultured organism. RNAcentral describes it as "partial 16S ribosomal RNA". It matches the Rfam family "Bacterial small subunit ribosomal RNA", at positions 527 to 896 of the family's 1533-position model. The record is from RNAcentral.
GUAGGAGGCAAGCGUUAUCCGGAUUUACUGGGCGUAAAGCGUGUGUAGGCGGUAUGGUAAGUCGGACGUGAAAGCUCCUGGCUCAACUAGGAGAGGCCGUUCGAUACUUCCAAACUUGAGGGCAGUAGAGGGAGGUGGAAUUUCAGGUGUAGCGGUGAAAUGCGUAGAUAUCUGAAGGAACACCAGUGGCGAAGGCGGCCUCCUGGACUGACCCUGACGCUAAGACACGAAAGCUAGGGGAGCGAACGGGGGAUUAGACACCCCGGUAGUCCUAGCUGUAAACGAUGCAGACUUGGUGUUGGGAGUGUAAAAACUUUCAGUGCCGGAGCUAACGCGUUAAGUCUGCCGCCUGGGGACUACGACCGCAAGGUUA